This 497-nucleotide ribosomal RNA is filed under the name uncultured bacterium. Its description in RNAcentral is "partial 16S ribosomal RNA". It matches the Rfam family "Bacterial small subunit ribosomal RNA", at positions 28 to 507 of the family's 1533-position model. The record is from RNAcentral.
GAUGAACGCUGGCGGCGUGCCUAAUACAUGCAAGUCGAGCGAACGGACGAGAAGCUUGCUUCUCUGAUGUUAGCGGCGGACGGGUGAGUAACACGUGGAUAACCUACCUAUAAGACUGGGAUAACUUCGGGAAACCGGAGCUAAUACCGGAUAAUAUUUUGAACCGCAUGGUUCAAAAGUGAAAGACGGUCUUGCUGUCACUUAUAGAUGGAUCCGCGCUGCAUUAGCUAGUUGGUAAGGUAACGGCUUACCAAGGCAACGAUGCAUAGCCGACCUGAGAGGGUGAUGGGCCACACAGGGACUGAGACGCGGUCCAGGGUCCGACGGGAGGCAGCAGUAGGGAAUCUUGCGCGAUGGGGGGAAGCCUGACGGAGCAGCGCCGCGUGAGUGAUGAAGGUCUUCGGAUCGUAAAACUCUGUUAUUAGGGAAGAACGUAUGUGGAAGUAGCUAUGCACAUCUUGACGGUACCUGAUCAGAAAGCCACGGCUAACUACGUG